ACCUUACCUGGCNUGACAUGUCUGGAAUCCUNCAUAUAUGCGGNNGUGCCUUCGGGWAUCAGAACACAGGUGCUGCAUGGCUGUCGUCAGCUCGUGUCGUGAGAUGUUGGGUUAAGUCCCGCAACGAGCGCAACCCUUGUCCUUAGUUGCCAGCGGUUCGGCCGGGCWCUCUAGGGAGACUGCCGGUGACAAACCGGAGGAAGGUGGGGAUGACGUCAAGUCCUCAUGGCCUUUAUGUCCAGGGCUACACACGUGCUACAAUGGCGCGUACAGAGGGAAGCCAAGCCGCGAGGUGGAGCAGACCCCAGAAAGCGCGUCGUAGUUCGGAUUGCAGUCUGCANCUCGACUGCAUGAAGUCGGAAUCGCUAGUAAUCGCGGAUCNGCMYGCCGCGGUGAAUACGUNCCC
Molecule: ribosomal RNA, 406 nt
Filed under: Acidithiobacillus thiooxidans
Lineage: Bacteria; Pseudomonadati; Pseudomonadota; Acidithiobacillia; Acidithiobacillales; Acidithiobacillaceae
Description: 16S ribosomal RNA
Rfam family: Bacterial small subunit ribosomal RNA
Source: RNAcentral